RNAcentral lists this long non-coding RNA (1425 nucleotides) under Trifolium pratense (red clover). RNAcentral describes it as "long non-coding RNA (TPRA_LNC001539)". Lineage: Eukaryota; Viridiplantae; Streptophyta; Magnoliopsida; Fabales; Fabaceae. The record is from RNAcentral.
GGUAUUUUGACUAAGAGUGAAAUUCUCGGUUCAGAGGUUGAGAGCUUGUAUUAGCGAAUGAAGAAUUGUUCGUGCGUGUUGUUGUAUAUUGCAAUUCGCUUCUUCUAGUAUAUAUUACUGGAAAAGAGUCGUUGCAAAAAUGACCGUUGAUGAAGAUAACCUUUUGUCUUCAUGCAUCUGUCUUGAUGCAGUUUGGAUGUUACUAAAACUGAGUAAGAGUUUCAGUAACUUUGACCAGGUGCAGAGAAGAUUUUCCUUAUUAAGCUAAGAAACCAGACAAGUCACGUUCUCACUUAAGGACAGGCAAAAUGUAAGUAGUUGUUCUGAUCAAGGUUGAAAGGUCAUUUUCUUCAUUGAUAAAAGAGUUGACCUUCAAAUUCGAAUCUUCACACAACCCAAGAUAACAUCAGAGUUUGAAUAACCUCUGAGUUAACAAGUCCUGAGGUCUUCAUCCUCUGAUACAUAUAACUUCUGAAGAUCCUUAUCCUCUGAAUCGUUGAGAAGCUCUGAGAACUAACUUCUGAGCUUUCUUCAGAGCUUGCCUGUAUAUAAGUUCUGCACACUUAAAUAAAUUUUUAGUAUCUCCAAUUACAUUUAAUACUUUGUUAUCAUCAAAACCUUAAUGGUUUUAGGGGCAACAAUUUUUAAAUCAAUUUUGUUCCAACAGUAGUGUGCUUCAUAACACCAUAAUCAAACAACACCAUAAUCCAAACCGAAUUUUCAAAUGAUAUUUGAGAGAGAAGUUUCAGAGAAUCUUGGAUUUGAAGUUUGAAAGGAAUGAGUAUGGGGAAGAGGAGAGAGAAGUUUGAGAGAAUCUAUGUACUUUACAGCUGCUAUUGUUUUUGAAAUUUCUAGAGGGAUUUAGAAAUUUGAAUUUGUCCAUGCCUGCAAUUUGGUAGAGUACAUAUAUUCACUAAAAUUAGUCUUUUUGUGAAGAUGAGUAAGGAAGAGAGUGAAAACUAAGAAAAAAAAGGGAAAGAUUUCAAACAAUUUUUUGGUCUGUCAUAGCACACACAAUGACAGCAACAAUUCUCCUAAUAAAAUGUUUCCUAAGCUAGCUAAUAGCAUCCCAAAUUCAAAAUAAAAAAAUGACUAAGAAAGAAAAAGAAUAAAGACAAACAAUGAUAGGUAGUAUUUCAACAAAUUUAGCCAAAUUUAAAACUACAGAUUGAUCAAGAAACAUGAUUUCAAAUUAUCAUUACCGAAAAAGGGGCAUUGAAACUCAUCACUUGAAGUCCAACAUCAGCCGCUCUAUCACAUCAUCCAACGUUCAAAGACUCUGUAUGUAACUAAAUGUAGUAUUAGCAAACAAAUAAAACCAAACAUAGGAAACAAAUAUGCUAAUUAGUUUGUGUUUCCCCUAGCUGCAUAAUCCAUUACUAUCAAAACAAUCUGAACAAUAAAAAACUCAUUGAAGUAACAAAU